RNAcentral lists this ribosomal RNA (837 nucleotides) under Prevotella denticola. RNAcentral describes it as "bacterial SSU rRNA". It matches the Rfam family "Bacterial small subunit ribosomal RNA", at positions 82 to 921 of the family's 1533-position model. The record is from RNAcentral. Lineage: Bacteria; Pseudomonadati; Bacteroidota; Bacteroidia; Bacteroidales; Prevotellaceae.
GAAUGGACGUCGACCGGCGCACGGGUGAGUAACGCGUAUCCAACCUUCCCGUUACUGCGGGAUAACCUGCCGAAAGGCAGACUAAUACCGCAUGUUCUUCGAUGACGGCAUCAGAUUCGAAGCAAAGAUCCGUCGGUAACGGAGGGGGAUGCGUCUGAUUAGCUAGUUGGCGGGGCGACGGCCCACCAAGGCGACGAUCAGUAGGGGUUCUGAGAGGAAGGUCCCCCACAUUGGAACUGAGACACGGUCCAAACUCCUACGGGAGGCAGCAGUGAGGAAUAUUGGUCAAUGGGCGGAAGCCUGAACCAGCCAAGUAGCGUGCAGGAUGACGGCCCUACGGGUUGUAAACUGCUUUUAUGCGGGGAUAAAGUGAGGGACGUGUCCCUUUUUGCAGGUACCGCAUGAAUAAGGACCGGCUAAUUCCGUGCCAGCAGCCGCGGUAAUACGGAAGGUCCGGGCGUUAUCCGGAUUUAUUGGGUUUAAAGGGAGCGUAGGCCGGGGAUUAAGUGUGUUGUGAAAUGUAGGCGCCCAACGUCUGACUUGCAGCGCAUACUGGUUCCCUUGAGUACGCGCAACGCCGGCGGAAUUCGUCGUGUAGCGGUGAAAUGCUUAGAUAUGACGAAGAACCCCGAUUGCGAAGGCAGCCGGCGGGAGCGCAACUGACGCUGAAGCUCGAAGGUGCGGGUAUCGAACAGGAUUAGAUACCCUGGUAGUCCGCACGGUAAACGAUGGAUGCCCGCUGUCGGCGCCUUGCGCCGGCGGCCAAGCGAAAGCGUUAAGCAUCCCACCUGGGGAGUACGCCGGCAACGGUGAAACUCAAAGGAAUUGACGGGGGCC